CGUUCCUCCUUUUCUCAUCCUUGGGGAAUAUUGCACAAUGGGGGAAACCCUUAUGCAUCUACUCCUCUUUAUUGAAGAAUUAUUUCGGUAUGUAAAGCUCUAUCAGCAGGAACGAGACAAGACGGUACCUGACUAAGAAGCCCCGGCUAACUACGUGCCAGCAGCCGCGGUAAUACGUAGGGGGCAAGCGUUAUCCUGAAUCACUUUUUUUAAAUGUAUCUUAUACUUCUUAUCAAUCCUUAAUUUAAAUUCUUUUGCCCAACCCCCGGACUGCUUUGGGAACUGUACGGCUGGAUGGCAGGAGG
RNAcentral lists this ribosomal RNA (305 nucleotides) under uncultured bacterium. RNAcentral describes it as "bacterial SSU rRNA". It matches the Rfam family "Bacterial small subunit ribosomal RNA", at positions 327 to 655 of the family's 1533-position model. The record is from RNAcentral.